GCCAGCCCGCUCAGAAACUCAAAUGAAUUGACGGGGCCCGCACAAGCGGUGGAGUAUGUGGUUUAAUUCGAUGCAACGCGAAGAACCUUACCUGGUCUUGACAUCCCGGAGACCCUUAGGAAACUAGGGGGUGCUUCCAUCUGGAAGAAUCUGGAGACAGGUGCUGCAUGGCUGUCGUCAGCUCGUGUCGUGAGAUGUUGGGUUAAGUCCCGCAACGAGCGCAACCCUUGCCUUUAGUUGCCAGCAGUUCGGCUGGGCACUCUAAAGGGACUGCCGGUGUUAAACCGGAGGAAGGUGGGGAUGACGUCAAGUCCUCAUGGCCUUUAUGACCAGGGCUACACACGUACUACAAUGGCCGAUACAAAGGGCAGCGACACUGCGAGGUGAAGCCAAUCCCGUAAAAUCGGUCUCAGUCCGGAUUGGAGUCUGCAACUCGACUCCAUGAAGUUGGAAUCGCUAGUAAUCGUGGAUCAGCACGCCACGGUGAAUACGUUCCCGGGCCUU
RNAcentral lists this ribosomal RNA (504 nucleotides) under uncultured Desulfobulbus sp. Its description in RNAcentral is "bacterial SSU rRNA". It matches the Rfam family "Bacterial small subunit ribosomal RNA", at positions 885 to 1382 of the family's 1533-position model. Lineage: Bacteria; Pseudomonadati; Thermodesulfobacteriota; Desulfobulbia; Desulfobulbales; Desulfobulbaceae. The record is from RNAcentral.